UCGGGUGGAGCGGCGGACGGGUUAGUAACGCGUGGGAACAUACCCUUUUCUACGGAAUAGCCUUUGGAAACGAAGAGUAAUACCGUAUACGCCCUUCGGGGGAAAGAUUUAUCGGUUAAGGAUUGGCCCGCGUAAGAUUAGAUAGUUGGUGAGGUAACGGCUCACCAAGUCAACGAUCUUUAGCUGGUUUGAGAGGAUGAUCAGCAACACUGGGACUGAGACACGGCCCAGACUCCUACGGGAGGCAGCAGUGGGGAAUCUUAGACAAUGGGCGAAAGCCUGAUCUAGCGAUGCCGCGUGAGUGAUGAAGGUCCUAGGAUCGUAAAGCUCUUUCGCCAGGGAAGAUAAUGACUGUACCUGGUAAAGAAACCCCGGCUAACUCCGUGCCAGCAGCCGCGGUAAUACGGAGGGGGUUAGCGUUGUUCGGAAUUACUGGGCGUAAAGCGCACGUAGGCGGAUUGGUAAGUUAGAGGUGAAAUCCCAGGGCUCAACCCUGGAACUGCCUUUAAUACUGCCAGUCUUG
RNAcentral lists this ribosomal RNA (523 nucleotides) under uncultured bacterium. Its description in RNAcentral is "bacterial SSU rRNA". It matches the Rfam family "Bacterial small subunit ribosomal RNA", at positions 86 to 644 of the family's 1533-position model. The record is from RNAcentral.